This 254-nucleotide ribosomal RNA is filed under the name uncultured bacterium. RNAcentral's name for it is "partial 16S ribosomal RNA". It matches the Rfam family "Bacterial small subunit ribosomal RNA", at positions 524 to 776 of the family's 1533-position model. The record is from RNAcentral.
UACGGGGGGUGCGAGCGUUGUCCGGAAUCACUGGGCGUAAAGGGCGCGUAGGUGGCUUGGCAAGCGCGUGGUGAAAGCCCGGGGCUCAACCCCGGGUCUGCCAUGCGAACUGCUAUGGCUUGAGCACUGUAGAGGCAGGUAGAAUUCCGGGUGUAGCGGUGGAACGCGUAGAGAUCCGGAAGAAUACCGGUGGCGAAGGCGGCCUGCUGGGCAGUGGCUGACACUGAGGCGCGACAGCGUGGGGAGCAAACAGG